CGUUUGGGGGACGCAGUCCGGUGAAAGAUGGCCUCUUCCCUCCCGCUGCCGCCGCCGGAGGAGGCGCCCUUAAAAGGGCUUGUUUGGGAAUCUUCUCGCUGUCUCUAGAACCUGUUCUCUGGACUCUAAGGUCUAGAGUCCUCCUCUACCACUUAACUUUUUUCUCUUUCCAGGGCCAAGGGCCCCAUCUCCUACUAAGCCUCUGCGGAGGUCCCAGCGGAAAUCAGGCUCUGAACUCCCGAGCAUCCUCCCUGAAAUCUGGCCGAAGACACCCAGUGCGGCUGCAGUCAGAAAGCCCAUCGUCUUAAAGAGGAUCGUGGCCCAUGCUGUAGAGGUAAAGGCUAAGGAGAGUGUUGUGGGUGGUUAGGCGGGCAAAACUGGGGACCAGCUAUGUGAUCAAUUGGUAUUGUCCCCCGCAGGUCCCAGCUGUCCAAUCACCUCGCAGGAGCCCUAGGGUGAGUUCACUUUCAUCUACUUAAUUAAGUAGAAUCUGGGUCACUCUAGAGCUGGACAGCACACAUUGGCUCCUCACAUCUGCCCAGGGAGCUGUUUUGCAGUACUGCAAAAAC
RNAcentral lists this long non-coding RNA (569 nucleotides) under Homo sapiens (human). Its description in RNAcentral is "non-protein coding lnc-TMEM262-2:2". Lineage: Eukaryota; Metazoa; Chordata; Mammalia; Primates; Hominidae. The record is from RNAcentral.